UCAAGUUACCAAUAACUGGUUAUCUACUCAUCACUGAAAAUAAUUUUUCCAUGAAAUUAAUAUGUUAUUAUACUGACAUAACCUCAAUAUAGAUCUCUGUUUUCUUCGCUAGGCUACGUCUUCGUAGCGUCCAUUAUUCGACGUCAAUUCAUGGCGUCGGUCACAAUUUCUCAAACUCUUGAACUGAAUUGGAGUAUCUUCUCCGGACCUCGUUUCAAAUUUUGAUUUCGUAGCCUAGUAAUGCGGGCUAAGUGGCGUAAGAAGCGUAUGCGUAGGUUGAAGCGCAAAAGGAGGAAGAUGCGUGCAAGGUCCAAGUAAACCUCGUGCCUUGAUCCUGACAUAUUGUCGUGUUUGGUAAAAAUACAAUGAUGUUGUAACUAUUUUCUAUUGAUAUAAUUAAAAUCUACUUUAUACCACAUCAAAAA
This is a long non-coding RNA of Daktulosphaira vitifoliae (grape phylloxera), 425 nucleotides long. RefSeq lists it as uncharacterized. NCBI's taxonomy places the organism in Eukaryota, Metazoa, Arthropoda, Insecta, Hemiptera, Phylloxeridae. The transcript is spliced from 2 exons. The record is from RefSeq and is a predicted model, not a curated record.